AUUGAACGCUGGCGGCAGGCCUAACACAUGCAAGUCGAGCGGAUGAAGGGAGCUUGCUCCUGGAUUCAGCGGCGGACGGGUGAGUAAUGCCUAGGAAUCUGCCUGGUAGUGGGGGAUAACGUCCGGAAACGGGCGCUAAUACCGCAUACGUCCUGAGGGAGAAAGUGGGGGAUCUUCGGACCUCACGCUAUCAGAUGAGCCUAGGUCGGAUUAGCUAGUUGGUGGGGUAAAGGCCUACCAAGGCGACGAUCCGUAACUGGUCUGAGAGGAUGAUCAGUCACACUGGAACUGAGACAGGGUCCAGACUACUGCGGGAGGCAGCAGUGGGGAAUAUUGGACAAUGGGCGAAAGCCUGAUCCAGCCAGGCCGCGUGUGUGAAGAAGGUCUUCGGAUUGUAAAGCACUUUAAGUUGGGAGGAAGGGCAGUAAGUUAAUACCUUGCUGUUUUGACGUUACCAACAGAAUAAGCACCGGCUAACUACGUG
RNAcentral lists this ribosomal RNA (484 nucleotides) under uncultured bacterium. RNAcentral describes it as "partial 16S ribosomal RNA". It matches the Rfam family "Bacterial small subunit ribosomal RNA", at positions 30 to 507 of the family's 1533-position model. The record is from RNAcentral.